GCUCUUUAAUUUUUUGUUUUUGUGACUUGUUACUGAGCAGGUAGCUCAUGUUUGUUACUUGUGUGGUUGGAAUCUCUCUAUUUCUUGUUUAUUUGUUCCUGAGGUUUCUUCCUACAAAUUAGCCGGAGUUAUGACCUUCCGUAGUAUAGCUAUUUCAUGAAAAAGUUACUCGGAAAAUUAUACUUUUAUAGCAUGUGACUUGUUUAUCCUUAGAUAUUACAAUGGUAUCAAUUUCUCAUACACUUCUCAACUUUUCAACAGGUUGUUUGGGUUGGGUUUCA
RNAcentral lists this unclassified non-coding RNA (281 nucleotides) under Hevea brasiliensis (rubber tree). Lineage: Eukaryota; Viridiplantae; Streptophyta; Magnoliopsida; Malpighiales; Euphorbiaceae. The record is from RNAcentral.